GCCGGGGUGGCCGAGCGGUUCUAGGCGCUACAGUCUGGAACGCUGCGGUCGCAGGUUCGAAUCCUGCCUCCGGCA
This is a non-coding RNA of Schistocerca nitens (vagrant locust), 75 nucleotides long. NCBI's taxonomy places the organism in Eukaryota, Metazoa, Arthropoda, Insecta, Orthoptera, Acrididae. The record is from the annotation of a RefSeq genome assembly.